RNAcentral lists this ribosomal RNA (253 nucleotides) under uncultured bacterium. RNAcentral describes it as "partial 16S ribosomal RNA". It matches the Rfam family "Bacterial small subunit ribosomal RNA", at positions 524 to 776 of the family's 1533-position model. The record is from RNAcentral.
UACGUAGGUGGCAAGCGUUGUCCGGAAUUACUGGGUGUAAAGGGAGCGCAGGCGGGAAGCCAAGUCAGCUGUGAAAACUACGGGCUUAACUUGUAGACUGCAGUUGAAACUGGUUUUCUUGAGUGAAGUAGAGGUUGGCGGAAUUCCGAGUGUAGCGGUGAAAUGCGUAGAUAUUCGGAGGAACACCGGUGGCGAAGGCGGCCAACUGGGCUUUAACUGACGUUGAGGCUCGAAAGCGUGGGGAGCGAACAGG